Molecule: ribosomal RNA, 435 nt
Filed under: uncultured Chryseobacterium sp.
Lineage: Bacteria; Pseudomonadati; Bacteroidota; Flavobacteriia; Flavobacteriales; Weeksellaceae
Description: bacterial SSU rRNA
Rfam family: Bacterial small subunit ribosomal RNA
Source: RNAcentral
GGAAUAUUGGACAAUGGGUGAGAGCCUGAUCCAGCCAUCCCGCGUGAAGGAUGACGGUCCUAUGGAUUGUAAACUUCUUUUGUAUAGGAAUAAACCUCUCUACGUGUAGAGAGCUGAAGGUACUAUACGAAUAAGCACCGGCUAACUCCGUGCCAGCAGCCGCGGUAAUACGGAGGGUGCAAGCGUUAUCCGGAUUUAUUGGGUUUAAAGGGUCCGUAGGCGGACCGAUAAGUCAGUGGUGAAAUCUCAUAGCUUAACUAUGAAACUGCCAUUGAUACUGUCGGUCUUGAGUAAAUUAGAGGUAGCUGGAAUAAGUAGUGUAGCGGUGAAAUGCAUAGAUAUUACUUAGAACACCAAUUGCGAAGGCAGGUUACCAUGAUUUAACUGACGCUGAGGGACGAAAGCGUGGGUAGCGAACAGGAUUAGAUACCCUGG